This 453-nucleotide unclassified non-coding RNA is filed under the name Hevea brasiliensis (rubber tree). The record is from RNAcentral. Lineage: Eukaryota; Viridiplantae; Streptophyta; Magnoliopsida; Malpighiales; Euphorbiaceae.
UUCUAUAACAUCCUUUUUAGAUGAAAAAGGAAUCGAAACGUGAAUCUGCAGUCAGCAAAUUUUGAACAAUUUUCCAUUAUUUAUGAAUUACAAGAGAGCACAACUCAAAUCCCACUUCAAGAAGAUCUUAAAGAAGUAACAGAAAAUUGUUCAAAGUUUGUUGACUGCAGAUUCACGUUUCGAUUGCUUUUUCAUCUAAAAAGGAUGUUAUAGAAAAAGCAUCAAGACAUCCAUAAAAUAAGUUGAUACAGGAUCACCAGAUAUCCAAAAAUGCAACUCUUAAACUCAGGUUAUCAACCCUAAAAAAGAUACCAGGUUCAUAUGGUCAGGCUACUGGUCCUCAGUAUAAAAAUGAAAAUGCAUCAAGCUGCCUGAGCUUCAAUCUCUUGGGCAGUUUCUGUUGAUUUUGGUGAGGUUGGCUUCAUCUCCAAUGAUUUUGAUAAGCUUGGAAUG